GUGGAAGAUGUCUUUCCAAAGACAACAAAUGUAAAAGAAGGACAAGAGGGAAAAAAAGAGCCUGAAAAGGAGAAAAUCCCUAAAGAGAAAACUGUGGAAGAUGAGUCUCCAAAGACAACAGAUCUGAAAGGUAAAUAGUGGAAAAUGUACAUAUUUUUUACACAAAAUGUUCAUUUUAAAUCUUCAUAAUUAUAAUUGUUCAAAAAUAUUAAUAAAUUUCACUAAUUAAAAUUACAUAGAUGGACAAAAGCAACACACACAAAAGUCUAAAGUAAUGGAAGAUUCAACUGCAAAAGAGAAAGCACAAAUUGCACCUGAU
Chenopodium quinoa (quinoa) is the source of this 319-nucleotide long non-coding RNA. RefSeq lists it as uncharacterized. The transcript is spliced from 3 exons. NCBI's taxonomy places the organism in Eukaryota, Viridiplantae, Streptophyta, Magnoliopsida, Caryophyllales, Amaranthaceae. The record is from RefSeq and is a predicted model, not a curated record.